UGGAUCAGGAUGAACGCUAGCGACAGGCCGUAACACAUGCAAGUCAGGGGCAGCACAAGGAGCAAUCGUGAGGUGGCGACCGGCGCACGGGUGAGUAACACGUAUGCAACCUGCCUGUAAGCGGGGAAUAACCCGUUGAAAGACGGACUAAUACCGCAUAAUACUAAAUUACUGCAUGGUAAUUUAUUUAAACAUUUAUGGCUUACAGAUGGGCAUGCGCAUGAUUAGCUAGUUGGAGAGGUAACGGCUCCCCAAGGCAACGAUCAUUAGGGGUUCUGAGAGGAAGGUCCCCCCACACUGGUACUGAGACACGGUCCAGACUCCUACGGGAGGCAGCAGUGAGGAAUAUUGGACAAUGGAUGGAAAUCUGAUCCAGCCAUGCCGCGUGCAGGGAAAGACGGCCCUAUGGGUUGUAAACUGCUUUUGUAUGGGAGCAAUAAGGGCUACGUGUAGUCCGAUGAGAGUACCAUACGAAUAAGCACCGGCUAACUCCGUGCCAGCCGCAGC
This 507-nucleotide ribosomal RNA is filed under the name uncultured bacterium. RNAcentral describes it as "bacterial SSU rRNA". It matches the Rfam family "Bacterial small subunit ribosomal RNA", at positions 20 to 518 of the family's 1533-position model. The record is from RNAcentral.